This 777-nucleotide ribosomal RNA is filed under the name uncultured Neocallimastigales. Its description in RNAcentral is "partial large subunit ribosomal RNA". It matches the Rfam family "Eukaryotic large subunit ribosomal RNA", at positions 24 to 643 of the family's 3401-position model. The record is from RNAcentral. Lineage: Eukaryota; Fungi; Neocallimastigomycota; Neocallimastigomycetes; Neocallimastigales.
UACGACUACAUAUCAGGCAUAUCAAUAAGCGGAGGAAAAGAAACUAACAAGGAUUCCCCUAGUAACGGCGAGUGAAGCGGGAAGAGCUCAAAUUUGAAAUCUUCAAGGUUCUACCUUGACGAAUUGUAGUUUAAAGAAGUGUUUUCGGUUAGAGGAGUAGUAAAAGUUCUUUGGAAUAGGACAUCAUAGAGGGUGAGAAUCCCGUAUUUGACUAUUCUUUCUAGCUUUGUGAUACACUUUCAAAGAGUCGGAUUGUUUGGGAAUGCAGUCCAAAAUGGGUGGUAAAUUUCAUCUAAAGCUAAAUAUUGGCGAGAGACCGAUAGCGAACAAGUACCGUGAGGGAAAGAUGAAAAGAACUUUGAAAAGAGAGUUAAACAGUACGUGAAAUUGUCAAAAGGGAAGCGUUUGACACCAGUGUUGUUUUCUGCGAAAAUCAAUUUAUAAUGGCUUGAUAGCUAAGCUUGCUAAGACUUUAUCAGCUUGUUUCUUAGUUUUCUUGUCUUUGUGAAUGCACUUUUCGUGUAACAAGUCAACAUCAAUUUCUUUUGCUGUAAAAGGGUAAGAGGAAGGUGGCUUCUGACUUCGGUUAAGUGUUUAUAGCCUUUUAUCUCUGCAGUCGGAGAGAUUGAGGUCUGCAGCGUAGACUCUUCGGGGUUAGAUACGUCGGUGCUAAGCUAUAGCUUUUCAUAGACAACUUGUUGACUAUGUUUAGUCAUGUGGCUUACCCGCUGGCGCUAUUUUACCUACGCUUAGGAUGUUGACACACGCGCGUGCUCG